RNAcentral lists this ribosomal RNA (440 nucleotides) under uncultured bacterium. RNAcentral's name for it is "partial 16S ribosomal RNA". It matches the Rfam family "Bacterial small subunit ribosomal RNA", at positions 338 to 795 of the family's 1533-position model. The record is from RNAcentral.
CCUACGGGAGGCUGCAGUGGGGGAUAUUGCACAAUGGGCGCAAGCCUGAUGCAGCGACGCCGCGUGGAGGAAGAAGGUUUUCGGAUUGUAAACUCCUGUCUUCAGGGACGAUAAUGACGGUACCUGAGGAGGAAGCCACGGCUAACUACGUGCCAGCAGCCGCGGUAAUACGUAGGUGGCAAGCGUUGUCCGGAAUUACUGGGUGUAAAGGGAGCGUAGACGGCCAAGCAAGCCAGGGGUGAAAGCCCGGGGCCCAACCCCGGGACUGCCCUUGGAACUACAUGGCUGGAGUGCGGGAGGGGCAGGCGGAAUUCCUGGUGUAGCGGUGAAAUGCGUAGAUAUCAGGAGGAACACCGGCGGCGAAGGCGGCCUGCUGGACCGCGACUGACGUUGAGGCUCGAAAGCGUGGGGAGCGAACAGGAUUAGAUACCCCAGUAGUC